GAAACGACAAUAAAAAACAUGUGAUUCACUAAGACUGAUGUGGGCCGCAAGAAAAGGAUGUCAGAGACUCAGAGUAUUCGCUGACCGUGAUUGGUUGUAUUGCGAUGAGUGACGUAUUCAGCGAUCGGCGGCCCAAAGCCUAAGUCACCGAUAGUUUAUGGCCCAAUAGCCCGUUUAUAUACAUGAUUUAUAUAUUGGGUUUAUGGCCCAAAACUGGUUACAUAUUGACACCGAGAUAUGCUGCGUUUACUCAAAGACCUUGGAUUUCUCUAGAAAUCGUCUCAACUCUCAACAUCAGUGUUUAUUCUCCUUUGGGUUUUCUCUUGUUCUUACUUCCGGUUCUCUUUCUCUAGAUCUACAGAUUUUCUGUGUGAUUUUCAAUGGCUGGAACUGCAGAGAAACCAAUUUUAAAGCUGACACUUUGUGUCGACCCAGAAAAGAACAAGGUUGUCUUUGCUGACGUAGGCAAAGAUUUUGUUGAUGUGCUUUUUGGUUUUCUGGCGCUGCCAAUGGGUACCAUUGUGCGAUUGCUUGAGAAAUAUAAGCAGAAUCAACCUCCAAUAGGUUGUUUCAAUAAUCUCUACAAAAGUGUUCUUGAUAUGGACAAAGAUGAUUUCAUAACGGAAGCUUCUAAGGGUAUGCUCUUGUAUCCGAGGCACGUGAAAGAGAAGCAAUGCAAACGGCUUAAGCUCAACAUAGAUGAUGAUAUGUGCAAUUUGAUGACGGAGGAGUUUAAAGUACCUGAAGGUGGUUGUGAUGAAUUAUUUGUCACCCCGAAGAGCGCUUUCAUCAUUACCGAAAAUAUGGAUGAAGUAAAACAUGCAUCUAUUAUUCUCGCCAGGAGGACACUUCUAAGACUCGGUUAUAAUGAUUUAUCUAUGUUGAAGUUCAUGUCUGUAGAUGUUAAUCACGAAGAGGCUAUAUCUCUUCUCCAUUGCUUGUUUUCUUCGGAAACACCUUUCACUGAUGUCUUCUUGAAUAAGCAUAUCUCUUGCGGUAUGACAAGGUUGCAUGACAUGCCAACUCUACCCGUGCAAGAUGGAGGUCAUGAAGCUGAAGCUGGAUCAGAUGGAGUUUUGUCACUCACUGUAUUUGUUAGCUAGGAAGCCGGACAUGAAAGUUCUUUAUGCUGAAGGUGGGCAAGACUUUGUCGAUCUACUUUUCAUUUUCCUGGCUAUCCCUUUGGAGUCUGUAUGGGAAAUAACCGGAGGCAAUAAUGUCGAGCUAGGAUGCAUUGGCAACUUUGGAGAAACAUGAAGAGCUUGAGCUCUAGCGGAGGCACAAAUAGUAUGCUUCCUCAGCAUUAUGGUUUCCACAAAUCGCUAAUUGGUGUCGGUUACGAAAGGAAUAAGUUGGACGUGGACGUAGAUGAUGUUGAGGCUAUCAGUCUGUUGAGUGCAAUGAAUACAAAAUCUGACUUGGUUGCUGAACACACGUUACCGGUCAGUAGUGGGUUUGUGAAGAGAGGGUCAACAUUCAUGAUCUCAGAUGAUCUUAUUGUAACAGCUUCAAACUUGUCUUCGACCCUUGGCUUACUAAAGAAGUUGGACACAGACUUGGAUGAUAUCGAGGAACAAGUUAUUAGUAUCACUGGAGCAGAGGCUAUCAAUUUAUUGAAAGCUUCAUUGGUGACAUCCACUCCCUUGACCACUGCUCUCGGGAGCUUACUUCUAAAGAAGCCUAAAGUGGAGAGCCUUUAAGACAUCAAGGACUUUUUUGGGCAGUUUGAUCUUGCAGACAUGCUUUAGUUUCUUGUAACCGUUGGUUCAGUUUCGGAUUCUUUUCUCUCUAUAGUUUCUCAGACGAAUUUAAGGCAUUUUUUAUGCUACCUAAGUAUUUUCUGGUUUUCA
This is an RNA transcript of Arabidopsis lyrata subsp. lyrata, 1850 nucleotides long. RefSeq lists it as uncharacterized. The record is from RefSeq and is a predicted model, not a curated record. The transcript has 4 exons. NCBI's taxonomy places the organism in Eukaryota, Viridiplantae, Streptophyta, Magnoliopsida, Brassicales, Brassicaceae.